This 81-nucleotide non-coding RNA is filed under the name unclassified sequences. RNAcentral describes it as "pemK RNA". It matches the Rfam family "pemK RNA". The record is from RNAcentral.
AUAAUGAUACUCGCGCAUCGAACGCCCUCAAAGCAUUGUGCGCCCCGCCAUCAGCAGUGGGGGGAGGUGAAAGUCCUGUGG